This 994-nucleotide long non-coding RNA is filed under the name Phoenix dactylifera (date palm). Its description in RNAcentral is "long non-coding RNA (PDAC_LNC009433)". Lineage: Eukaryota; Viridiplantae; Streptophyta; Magnoliopsida; Arecales; Arecaceae. The record is from RNAcentral.
UAAAAAUAUAUAUGUAGUAGUGCGAGUAAGGAUCGUUCCCACGGAGAGUAUCUAGCCUAGUUUUAUGCAACUUGAACAAGGACGGAGGGGGAGUUUGAGUAUAACGAAAAUAAUAAAACAACUAAAGAAGAAUUCAGAUUUAAGUAUUGAAAUCAAUCAAAAGAACAAAUCUUGGUCUAAGUCAACAUCCACCAUCGGAAUUUUACAACUGAUCAUUGAUGCAAAGAUAUCAAUUUGCACUUUGAAUGUCCACCGAUAGAAAUAUUUUUCUAUCUCUUUUUAGUUGUAGUUAAUUAAAAACAAGCGUUCUAAUUAACCCUAACUACUAAACAACCCAAGACAAGCGCUAAAGGUUUAAUCUAGUAGCAGCCUUAAGAAUUAGAGAGAUCGAUGAAACUAAACAACACAAACACAAGCGGUUGCAUUUGAUUUAGCCGAGUAUUCUUCCUAAGAUCUGAAAAUUUCUGACGCAGCAAAUUAUUAGAUCUUAAUUGCUUCACAGAUUAGAGGAAUCAAACAAUUACGGAUUUGAUAUCUAACCUAGCAGUAGAUUGCAACGAAUAAUAAACUAGUAGGCCUCCUAGUCAUUAAACAAAAAUAAUCAUGAAAAUAUGCACAGAAGGACAUUCGACAUCAAAGCUGAAUUGAACAAUUAAAACAAAUUCAGAUCUCACAGUUUUAUUGAUUCCGAGGCUUCUGUUUUCUUAGACCAAUAAAAGCUUUAGCCACGCAGAGCCAUGGAUGCAAACUUCCAAGGAGAAAAGAGAAAGAGGAGUCCUCCAAGAGAAAAGAGAAAGAGCCCCCUUUUGCAGCCCCCUUUGCAGCCCCUUUUCUUUCACCUUUAUCCCUUCCAAAAAAAUCUCCUAACAAAUAUUCAAAUCUGACUAAUUACGAAAAGUAAAAUAAAGUCCUAAUAUAACUGGGAAAGUGGUGUUUCCAGCUAGGAUUUUCGUGCAUCAAAUCUGGAAACUUCUGAAAAUUGACCGAGUCAAAU